UGGGCUGCUGGUCAACCUCAGGAUCUACUAAAGAUGACGCAAAUGCCGACUGAACAAUCUGAAACCCAAAGGACUCGAGGAGAGACAUGUUCUGCUGAGGAGAGAAAGACUCAACCUCCUUCCCUGGCUGCUGAAUUUCAUAUGCCAGUUAAUCAACCAGCAAAAGCUCUCAAGCCGGACCAACCUCUUUUUCUCCCACUUUGGGACCUACUAACUCCCCCACCAACCUCAGUGGUUCAGUGGUGUCUGCAAAAUGCAUCCAUCCUGCCAUCUGAGUAGCAGAACUGUAAGAGAAAGCAACAUUCACCUUUGUGUCACAGAUCAAAUGGUAACCCACUGAAGACCACCCCAUUACCUUGUGCUAGAACGGAACUGCCUCUGCCAUCUCUCUUUAACAGAAGCACAUCCUGAGAACCUGAGAGCUCAAGGUAAGUGGCUGAACACUGUCAACACAUACAGGCAUCUAACUAUCUCCUUACUGUACAGCCAUAGCAAGAAACAAACGCAUGCAAUGCUGUCAAGGUAGAAGACACCACUGUUUACUACCCCAGUCCCAAAUAUCUGUGUACGUUAGCACAGCCUACCUAGCUCUUCUGUCAUUGUCUUUUUAAGUAAACAUUAUACAUUUGAACUGAAUUUGUA
Molecule: long non-coding RNA, 642 nt
Organism: Gorilla gorilla gorilla (western lowland gorilla)
Lineage: Eukaryota; Metazoa; Chordata; Mammalia; Primates; Hominidae
Exons: 3
Source: RefSeq, a predicted model, not a curated record